GAGAGAUGAAGAAGCAGCAGCUAAAAUGAGCAAAAUGUCCCAGAUGAGACCAGAGAAGUGUCGGAGGGGAAUUUGUCAGACUCCUGCUGAGCCGGAAACAGUCGUGAAAUGACAGCAUCAGGUGAAUACAGCCACAGCCACAGAGAAAACAUGGAGGAAUCUGGGAGAGCAACAUCCAACAGCAGCAACAUGCUCUCAACAGUGGGCUCUGAACACGCGUGGCAAAGAAAAGCCAAAAAAGUACCCUAAGCAGAAAACAGUUUUCAGCUGCUUCCAGUUCGAUCAGGAGAAGAACCCAGUGUGUGGUGGCGGCCAUUUGUUUAUCACGCUCACAUUUCCCCAUCUUUGCUGUAUUUGCUCUGUGGUUGAGCUGCAGAUGUGUUCGCCAGACAACAACAACAACAGCAGAGAAAAAACCACCAGUCCGUGAAAACAAUAUAUUUUAAAAAACAACAGACUUCAUGCAAAACUUAAAAUAAUCUCCAACCGAAAAAGUUUCAAACAGCACAAACAGUUUAUUCUGGUCAAAUGUAGAGUAAUAAAAAAGAAAA
Molecule: long non-coding RNA, 551 nt
Organism: Pleuronectes platessa (European plaice)
Lineage: Eukaryota; Metazoa; Chordata; Actinopteri; Pleuronectiformes; Pleuronectidae
Exons: 3
Source: RefSeq, a predicted model, not a curated record